CAGAGGGUAGUUUAAUGAAGAAUUCUAGCUUUGGGAGUUAGUGGUAGGAGUUGAAUUCUCCUUUCUCUGA
RNAcentral lists this transfer RNA (70 nucleotides) under Lamprogrammus niger. RNAcentral's name for it is "tRNA-Pro". It matches the Rfam family "tRNA". From Rfam's summary of the family: Transfer RNA (tRNA) molecules are approximately 80 nucleotides in length. Their secondary structure includes four short double-helical elements and three loops (D, anti-codon, and T loops). Further hydrogen bonds mediate the characteristic L-shaped molecular structure. tRNAs have two regions of fundamental functional importance: the anti-codon, which is responsible for specific mRNA codon recognition, and the 3' end, to which the tRNAs corresponding amino acid is attached (by aminoacyl-tRNA synthetases). tRNAs cope with the degeneracy of the genetic code in two manners: having more than one tRNA (with a specific anti-codon) for a particular amino acid; and 'wobble' base-pairing, i.e. permitting non-standard base-pairing at the 3rd anti-codon position. Lineage: Eukaryota; Metazoa; Chordata; Actinopteri; Ophidiiformes; Ophidiidae. The record is from RNAcentral.